AUUGAACGCUGGCGGCAGGCCUAACACAUGCAAGUCGAACGGUAACAGGAAACAGCUUGCUGUUUCGCUGACGAGUGGCGGACGGGUGAGUAAUGUCUGGGAAACUGUCUGAUGGAGGGGGAUAACUACUGGAAACGGUAGCUAAUACCGCAUAACGUCGCAAGACCAAAGAGGGGGACCUUCGGGCCUCUUGCCAUUGGAUGUGCCCAGAUGGGAUUAGCUAGUAGGUGGGGUAACGGCUCACCGAGGCGACGAUCCCUAGCUGGUCUGAGGGGAUGACCAGCCACACUUGAACUGUGACACGGUCCAGACUCCUACGGGUAGCAGCAGUGUGGAAGAUUGCACAUUGGGAGCAAUCCUGAUGCAGCCAUGUCACGUGUAUGAAGAAGGCCUUCGGGUUGUAAAGUACUUUCAGCGGGGAGGAAGGGAGUAAAGUUAAUACCUUUGCUCAUUGACGUUACCCGCAGAAGAAGCACCGGCUAACUCCGUGCCAGCCGCCGCAGUAA
This 506-nucleotide ribosomal RNA is filed under the name uncultured bacterium. RNAcentral's name for it is "partial 16S ribosomal RNA". It matches the Rfam family "Bacterial small subunit ribosomal RNA", at positions 30 to 523 of the family's 1533-position model. The record is from RNAcentral.